This 356-nucleotide transfer-messenger RNA is filed under the name Halanaerobiaceae. RNAcentral's name for it is "QPJE01 sp003337245 Standard tmRNA". It matches the Rfam family "transfer-messenger RNA". From Rfam's summary of the family: Bacterial tmRNA, also known as 10Sa RNA or SsrA, is named for its dual tRNA and mRNA-like properties. Its role is to liberate the mRNA from a stalled ribosome. To accomplish this part of the tmRNA is used as a reading frame that ends in a translation stop signal. The record is from RNAcentral. Lineage: Bacteria; Bacillati; Bacillota; Clostridia; Halanaerobiales. RNAcentral also lists the same sequence under 2 other names.
GGGGGUGUUCUGGCUUCGCCUGUAUGGUGAACCCUUUAGAAGCGGACCGAGGAGUUCCUUUCACUCGUUAAACACUGGGAACUUAAAAUUAUCUGCAAACGAUAAUAAUUACGCUUUAGCUGCCGCGUAGGUGGCUAACGCCUGACUGACCCCUGUCUGUGGGGUUAACUCAGGUGUCAUAUAAAACAGACUAACUGUCUUCUGAUGCCUGUAGGAAGACAGGACAAUAAACAGGCUUGCAGCAGUAAAUCCUGUCUGAUGGAGUUGCUGCUGUGAAAAUAAAAAUCAGACUACGUUCGUAGAAACUACUGGGUGAGCCAUACAGUACGUGGGUUCGACUCCCACCACCUCCACCA